AUUGAACGUUGGCGGAAUGCCUUACACAUGCAAGUCGAACGGCAGCACGGGAGCAAUCCUGGUGGCGAGUGGCGAACGGGUGAGUAAUACAUCGGAACGUGCCCAAUCGUGGGGGAUAACGUAGCGAAGCUACGCUAAUACCGCAUACGAUCUACGGAUGAAAGCAGGGGAGUCGCAAGACCUUGCGCGAAUGGAGCGGCCGAUGGCAGAUUAGGUAGUUGGGGGGUAAAGGCUCACCAAGCCUUCGAUCUGUAGCUGGUCUGAGAGGACGACCAGCCACACUGGGACUGAGACACGGCCCAGACUCCUAC
Molecule: ribosomal RNA, 311 nt
Filed under: uncultured bacterium
Lineage: Bacteria
Description: bacterial SSU rRNA
Rfam family: Bacterial small subunit ribosomal RNA
Source: RNAcentral